AUUGAACGCUAGCGGGAUGCCUUACACAUGCAAGUCGAACGGAGUGGCGAACGGGUGAGUAAUGUAUCGGAACGUGCCCAGUAGCGGGGGAUAACUACGCGAAAGCGUAGCUAAUAACGCAUACUAUUGGAGCGGCCGAUAGCGGAGUAGCUAGUUGGUGGGGGAACGGCACACCAAGGGGACGAUCCGUAGCUGGUUUGAGAGGACGACCAGCCACACUGGGACUGAGACACGGCCCAGACUCCUUCGGGAGGCAGCAGUGGGGAAGUGUGGACAUGGGGGGAAUCCCUGAGCCAGCCAUCCCGCGUGUGCGAUGAAGGCCUUCGGGUUGUAAAGCACUUUUGGCAGGAAAGCGGUACCUGCAGAAUAAGCACCGGCUAACUUCGUGCCAGCAGCCGCGGUAAUUC
RNAcentral lists this ribosomal RNA (407 nucleotides) under uncultured bacterium. RNAcentral's name for it is "partial 16S ribosomal RNA". It matches the Rfam family "Bacterial small subunit ribosomal RNA", at positions 30 to 526 of the family's 1533-position model. The record is from RNAcentral.